AUUUUAUGUGGUGGAUAUGGAUAUGUCUGGAAGAGUAGAUCCUGAACUGGGAACACUGGGAGCUCCCAGGAGUGGAAUGGGACAGAUGUACGGAGUUCUGAUAACAUAAUCCUGAGUUCUCAGGACAGUGUUCCUUUGUGUUCUCUCUCUCUCUCUCUGUCUCUCUCUGUCUCUCCCUUCCUCCCUCCCUCCCUCCCUCCCUCCCUCCCUCCCUCCCUCCCUCCCUCCGUGUGUGUGUGUGUGUGUGUGUGUGUGUGUGUGCGCGCGCGCGCACGCGCAUGUGUGCAGGAGGACGGAGUGAAGGCCAGGGCUCAAGUAAAGGUCUUCAGUCAUCCCACACUACUCUUUGGCUGAACCAAGAACUCACUAUUUGGCUUGGUCGGGUGGCCAGCGAGCUCCAAGGCCCCAGCUGUCCCCACCCCCCUCCUGCUGGGAUCACAGACCCACAUCACCAUGCCUGGCCUUUUAUGUGGGUGCUGGCAAUCUCAACUCAGAUAUUUUUCAGAAGGAAAUUACUCAUUAAGAAAUAAAUUCUUCGGGCUGGAGAGAUGGCUCAGUGGUUAAGAGCACUGACUGCUCUUCCAGAGGUCCUGAGUUCAAAUCCCAGCAACCACAUGGUGGCUCACAACCAUCUGUAACAGGGAUCCAAUGCCCUCUUCUGGUGUGUCUGAAGACAGCUACAGUGUAUUCAUAUACAUGAAAUAAACAAAAUCUUUAAAAAAAAAAAAAGAAGAAAUAAAUUCUUCCAGGAAAACUAAGCUACACAGAGAAACCCUGUCUUAAAAAAGCAAAAUAAAUAAACUAAUAUUCUCUGUUCA
Rattus norvegicus (Norway rat) is the source of this 818-nucleotide non-coding RNA. NCBI's taxonomy places the organism in Eukaryota, Metazoa, Chordata, Mammalia, Rodentia, Muridae. The record is from RefSeq and is a predicted model, not a curated record.